This 313-nucleotide non-coding RNA is filed under the name Vibrio aestuarianus. The record is from RNAcentral. Lineage: Bacteria; Pseudomonadati; Pseudomonadota; Gammaproteobacteria; Vibrionales; Vibrionaceae.
CAUUGAAUGGACGCAAUAGUAACUAGGAUGGUUGCUACUAAGGAAAGACAAUGGACACCUCUGGAUGAGGCAAGGACUGAACAUCAGGAUGAUGUAAAGGACACCGCUCAGGGAACAAGUGAUGAACGCUAACGUGGAUUGUUGGCAGACCAGGAAGGUCAAAAAAGGACACCGCUAGGAAGGCGACGUAAGGAAUAAGCUGACGGAAUACAGCACACUAUCAUGGAUUUGAUGCAUGGAGCACUUUUGUAGCUGGAUUGCUGCGAGUAAGACUAUAACCCCGCAGGGCUUUUGCCCUCGGGGUUUUUCUUUA